This is a long non-coding RNA of Ornithodoros turicata, 2619 nucleotides long. RefSeq lists it as uncharacterized. Lineage: Eukaryota; Metazoa; Arthropoda; Arachnida; Ixodida; Argasidae. The record is from RefSeq and is a predicted model, not a curated record. The transcript is spliced from 4 exons.
CACGUCACAGCAAACGUUAAGGCGCACGUGACCUUAAAGAUGGCGGUGCCCGUGAUCGGCGGCCAAACCGUUUGUAAACAAUGCGGUUGUUGUUUCUGGACGACGUUUUGGAUGUUUUUCGAUCACGCAAAAAAGUCACCGGCAAGUAGUGACUCUGCUUGCAGCCGAACCGUUGCCACUUUAGCGGGUUCUAAUGGCACUUGUCCCAAGCAGCCACCUCCAAGAUCAAAUCCGGAAUUGCGAGGGAAAGUUCUUCCACAACAGCGGGCAUGUCCAUGAGAGAUGUCGUAGGUAGACAUCCACCUUGUAGGGACAUCUAAGACUGGUCUCUUCCCGCAGCGUUUUCGGACCAACUCUCGCAGUGAAGGACAUCGCGUACACUUAACUGAAGGGUAUGGGCGCUGCACCUCGUGCUUGAGACAGGUACAUUGCCUUGUCUUCAGAAUCAACGUCCUCAUCUUCACCGCUGGGCCCAUCGUCGUCAUCAGUGUGACCCUCUGACUCAUUCGUUUGACGCGAGUUCCUAUUGCUGUUCAUCAGUUUGACGCAGCGAACCAUGUUGGCGCCAUUGUCUGUGCUGUGUGUGGUUCACUAAGUUCCAACAGCGCAAGCGUCUUCAACUGAAGCCUUCCGUCGGCAACGAACUGCACAUUUAUCCCCAAGAAGGACCUAUACAGCCUGGUUGCGGCAUCUGCCUUUAAACACAGUAGUUUGUUUUGAAGAGGCUUUCUUGUAGCGUCUCUGCACUUUUCUUCAGCAGCCGAUAUAUUUCUUCCUUUACGUUUUUUCGAUCGAAGAGGAGCCCAAGAGCCUCCAUUAAUGGUGACACAAGACGCUUAAACCCAGAGUCGCCAAGUACUGAGAAAGGCCGUCCGUUCCUCGUGACUAACUCUAGGCAUCCACGUUUAGCGUCUAGGCUCAGCGUUUAUUUUCACUUCAACACUGUCUGACACCGCCAUCUUUGUUUAUUUCAUGCUUUGGGAACCUUCACUCGUAGAGACGUCGCUGGCAGAACGCUUGAUGCCCUUAUGGCCCAUUGCCUGCUCCUUACUUGCAAGCUCAUUGUAGGCUGCACCGCCCUGCUGGAAAUAGUCCAGUUCAAAAUAGCCCAGAAAUCUCAUUCGGUUUAAGUGGAUAUCACAUUCACAAUUCUCAUUGAAAGGAGCCAAAAUUUCCCAUUCCGAAUCGACAAUUUUAGACAAAUACCAUAUUGAAAACUACUGGAAUUUAGUGGGUUUUAAAGAGAAAUCACUGUAAAUGUCAAUGGGGACGAAGCGGAAGCACGCUUAAUCACACCCACUGGAGGCCAGUCUAGUUUACCAUUGGCUCGAUGUGCUGUAGCUCUGAUUUUCCCAGUAAACUCACAUAGAAAUUCUCAUUGUCGAUGCACCUUUUGAAUGUGCAAUGACAUUCGAUUCUGCUGCAUCGAAUGAGCAGAACGCAUGUUUUUGCUGUAGAAAGGAGUUACACUAAAUGCCGUUUCUGCGUGCACAUUUAUGUUUUCAUACAUCACAAUACAGUAGAUGUUAAAAUAUUACAAGUGGGACAUAUAAAGGUGGAAGUUAUUUCAAAUGUUUUGUAAGUGUGAAUAUUCACCAAUCAGUUGAAAAUCGCUAGCAAGACAUAGUGAACAACAAGAGUAAAAACUUGAUUCAGCACUUACAUAUGUUUUGAAAGAUACUGUCCAUCAUCAACAUACACAAAAUAAAUUUCCAAUCAGUAGCUUCAUAGUGAUGUGCCUCCAACGUCCGCACAGCGUCGACGAACAAAACAGAAGGUCUUGAAGCACUCAACCAUCAUGGUCUUCUGUGCUUCGUAGAUGUUUCACGAUACCCCGUCCAGCCUGCCUUUCAUGCGUGAAAAGUAACCCCAUCCACCUUCGGUAAGAUUCCGUUCUGGCCACCUGCUGACAAAUGCCUGCGCACCUAUGCCAGCUGCGUCGCACCAGCCUAACCUUCAAGAAACAGAAUUUUUAAAAGAUACAGGAACAGCAGCCUGUCAGUGUGAGUGGGUGUCAAAUAUAUUACAUACCGUUGUUCACAGCGCGGGAGGUAACACUGACUGCACAUUUCGCUCUCCUCCCAUCACCGGUUGUAAUGCCUACGAACAGGGAUAAAAACAUGUGAGACUCUGUAGAAAGAACGGGUAUGUUUCUAACAUCGACUACAUACAAUACAAAGUAAAAAGCAACGCCAAAGUCCAGUUGACUGUGAUUACACUGAGGGAAGGUAAAACGGGUAGGAACACUUUAUUACAAUUAAGAUGAACAAGGCUUUCGUGCAGAGCCUGCACUUCAUCAGGUUAAAGAGUAGCCGUACAACAGGACGUAUAUAUACCAGUAGAAAGGGAGGGAGAAAGGGGAAUAGAAAAGCAAAAACACAAUCGAAUACACUUAUCUGGCUGAGGGAGUUGAAAAAACAAUAAGUAAAAUAAGUAAAAAGCGAAGCAGACCGGACAAGACCAAAACUACAGCCCAGGGUCAUGUGUCACAGACACACAACAGGGGGAAGUUCACAGCGCUGACAACCGAAAUAUGCAAGGCGACCCUUCCGAUGCUCCCUGUAACCGGGAGUGUCGGGGAAGGCUCAAGGUCGCUCCGUGGUCCCGCUGCCACCCCCC